RNAcentral lists this ribosomal RNA (656 nucleotides) under Salmonella enterica subsp. enterica serovar Muenchen. Its description in RNAcentral is "partial 23S ribosomal RNA". It matches the Rfam family "Bacterial large subunit ribosomal RNA", at positions 1 to 688 of the family's 2925-position model. RNAcentral also lists the same sequence under 3 other names. The record is from RNAcentral. Lineage: Bacteria; Pseudomonadati; Pseudomonadota; Gammaproteobacteria; Enterobacterales; Enterobacteriaceae.
GGGUUGUGAGGUUAAGCGACUAAGCGUACACGGUGGAUGCCCUGGCAGUCAGAGGCGAUGAAGGACGUGCUAAUCUGCGAUAAGCGCCGGUAAGGUGAUAUGAACCGUUAUAACCGGCGAUUUCCGAAUGGGGAAACCCAGUGUGAUUCGUCACACUAUCAUUAACUGAAUCCAUAGGUUAAUGAGGCGAACCGGGGGAACUGAAACAUCUAAGUACCCCGAGGAAAAGAAAUCAACCGAGAUUCCCCCAGUAGCGGCGAGCGAACGGGGAGGAGCCCAGAGCCUGAAUCAGCAUGUGUGUUAGUGGAAGCGUCUGGAAAGGCGCGCGAUACAGGGUGACAGCCCCGUACACAAAAGCGCAUGUGCUGUGAGCUCGAUGAGUAGGGCGGGACACGUGGUAUCCUGUCUGAAUAUGGGGGGACCAUCCUCCAAGGCUAAAUACUCCUGACUGACCGAUAGUGAACCAGUACCGUGAGGGAAAGGCGAAAAGAACCCCGGCGAGGGGAGUGAAAAAGAACCUGAAACCGUGUACGUACAAGCAGUGGGAGCACAGGUUUACCUGUGUGACUGCGUACCUUUUGUAUAAUGGGUCAGCGACUUAUAUUCUGUAGCAAGGUUAACCGUAUAGGGGAGCCGUAGGGAAACCGAGUCUUAAC